CCAAUAGCGUAUAUUAAAGUUGUUGCAGUUAAAAAGCUCGUAGUUGAAUUUCGGGAUCAAGGGAUUGGUCAUGCCUUGGUAUGCACUGGUCUUAUUGGUUCUCACCUUCUAAGGAACCAUGAUGUCAUUCAUUUGAUGUUGUGAGGAAUUAGGACUGUUACCUUGAAAAAAUUAGAGUGUUUAAAGCAAGCUUACGCUUGAAUACAUUAGCAUGGAAUAAUGAAAUAGGAAAUCAGAUUCUAUUUUGUUGGUUUCUAGGAUCGAUGUAAUGAUUAAUAGGGAUAGUUGGGGGCAUUAGUAUUCAAUUGUCAGAGGUGAAAUUCUUGGAUUUAUUGAAGACUAACUACUGCGAAAGCAUUUGCCAAGGAUGUUUUCAUUAAUCAAGAACGAAAGUUAGGGGAUCGAAGACGAUCAGAUACCGUCGUAGUCUUAACCAUAAACUAUGCCGACUAGGGAUCGGAUGAUGUUAAUUUUUUAAUGACUCAUUCGGCACCUUACG
This 499-nucleotide ribosomal RNA is filed under the name uncultured Glomeromycotina. RNAcentral describes it as "partial small subunit ribosomal RNA". It matches the Rfam family "Eukaryotic small subunit ribosomal RNA", at positions 591 to 1092 of the family's 1831-position model. The record is from RNAcentral. Lineage: Eukaryota; Fungi; Glomeromycota.